Molecule: small nuclear RNA, 127 nt
Organism: Drosophila erecta
Lineage: Eukaryota; Metazoa; Arthropoda; Insecta; Diptera; Drosophilidae
Product: U5 spliceosomal RNA
Exons: 1
Source: RefSeq, a predicted model, not a curated record
UUAUUCGGCAUUCUGGACAUUCAAUUGUCGAAAAAAUCUUUCGCCUUUUAGUAAAGAUUUCCGUGGGGAGGAACACUCUAAUGAGUAGAAUCUCUAUUUCCUUAGGGCCUGGCUAUUUAUGUAGCUC